GAUGAACGCUGGCGGCGCGCCUAAUACAUGCAAGUCGAGCGAACGGACGAGAAGCUUGCUUCUCUGAUGUUAGCGGCGGACGGGUGAGUAACACGUUGAUAACCUACCUAUAAGACUGGGAUAACUUCGGGAAACCGUAGCUAAUACCGGAUAAUAUUUUGAACCGCAUGGUUCAACAGUGAAAGACGGUCUUGCUUUCACUUAUAGAUGGAUCCGCGCUGCAUUAGCUAGUUGGUAAGGUAACGGCUUACCAAGGCAACGAUGCAUAGCCGACCUGAGAGGGUGAUCGGCCACACUGGAACUGAGACACGGUCAAGACUCCUACGGGAGGCAGCAGUAGGGAAUCUUCAGCAAUGGGCGAAAGCCUGACAGAGCAACGCCGCGUGAGUGAUGAAGGUCUUCGGAUCGUAAAACUCUGUUAUUAGGGAAGAACAUAUGUGUAAGUAACUGUGCACAUCUUGACGGUACAUAAUCAGAAAGCCACGGCUAACUACGUG
Molecule: ribosomal RNA, 497 nt
Filed under: uncultured bacterium
Lineage: Bacteria
Description: partial 16S ribosomal RNA
Rfam family: Bacterial small subunit ribosomal RNA
Source: RNAcentral